RNAcentral lists this ribosomal RNA (253 nucleotides) under uncultured bacterium. Its description in RNAcentral is "partial 16S ribosomal RNA". It matches the Rfam family "Bacterial small subunit ribosomal RNA", at positions 524 to 776 of the family's 1533-position model. The record is from RNAcentral.
GAUGAAGGAUGCAAGCGUUAUCCGGAUUCAUUGGGUUUAAAGGGAGCGUAGGCGGAUUGGUAAGUCAGUGGUGAAAUCUGUGGGCUUAACCCACAAACUGCCAUUGAUACUGCUGAUCUAGAGUACAGUUGCCGUUGGCGGAAUAUGACAUGUAGUGGUGAAAUACUUAGAUAUGUCAUAGAACACCGAUUGCGAAGGCAGCUAACGAAGCUGUAACUGACGCUGAGGCUCGAAAGUGCGGGGAUCAAACAGG